Molecule: long non-coding RNA, 273 nt
Organism: Haliotis rubra (blacklip abalone)
Lineage: Eukaryota; Metazoa; Mollusca; Gastropoda; Lepetellida; Haliotidae
Exons: 3
Source: RefSeq, a predicted model, not a curated record
CCAAACACUCACAAAGGUUGUAACACCAAAUAGAUCAAUGAGGGAGCUAAAUAGUCGCUCUUUGUUACAUUCCGUUUGUGGACAAAAGAGAAAUACAUGUUUUACAAUGUCAUAAGCAUAUGUGCCACAUAAGCAUUCUUUAGAUUGUUAAACGAAAGUGCCGACACGGAUAAGGUAGGAUAUGUCAUAGAAAUAAUCUGAAUCAUUAAGAGCUAUUAACCAAAGUUUGUUACCAGCAGCUGGAUUGCGUAGGAGAGCGUCUACUGACAUUAU